UCUUAUGCAUUUUUAGGCAUCUUUUGACAUGUCAGUAUUACUGGAGGCAAGAAGAUAUGAGAGUGUUUGUUUUAUUACUGACUCAAUUUAUCAUUCAAAUCAACCUGGAGAGACCAUCAGCUACAAUGGAAGAUAAUUGAUAGUGUCCAGUGAUUGUAAGAGAAUGUUACUUAAAGGGACUAAUACACUGGCUGGUAGUUGUGUAUCCAUGUUGGAUAUAUUUCAUAAUUUAUUGAAUACAUUAAAUGUACCAAUUCCUCAAGCUGUAAGAAUGCUAGCAGAAAACCCAGCAAAAGUGGCUGGUUUAAAAGGACUUGGUUCCAUUGCUAUGGACAACAGAGCUGAUCUGUUAUUAUUUGACAAAGAUCUCACACUAACUGCGACUAUGGUGGCUGUUAAUACU
Molecule: long non-coding RNA, 403 nt
Organism: Amphimedon queenslandica
Lineage: Eukaryota; Metazoa; Porifera; Demospongiae; Haplosclerida; Niphatidae
Exons: 3
Source: RefSeq, a predicted model, not a curated record